CAGAUCAGAACCUGGUCAUCAGAACCUGGUCAUCAGUCAUGCGGUCCAUUAGCUACUUGAGCGGUUCAGUUUUAGGUUCCACCUUCAUCCAGGUUCUUCUUUGGUUCUAACUGAUACCUGGACAGGUGAUGAACCUGGAUGAAGAUAGAAUGUCUGCAAGAACCCCAUCAGUUGUGUAGCUGCAUUGUGUAGUGUUGCAUAGAGUUGGAAAACGCGACGUAUGUGCUGCAAUUGAUUGUGGGUAACAGAGACAGCUAGCACGCUAGUUAGCAUUCUACACGGAGGUAAACGGCGCGCAUUAUCGGUGAUAAACAGAAUGACAAGAGCUUGUAGUGUUGUAAAGAGUCAUAGUCGUUCCCAUGACCACCUCGGGAGACCAAAAGGCAAUGGGAUAGGCUUUUAUCGUAUUCCGGCUUGGAAAAGAAACAGCUCAAACCAUGUCUCCGAAGUCACUAAACGGUGAAGAAUGGCACGGAUAGCAGCCAUAAGGAGACCCAAUAUAACUUAUGAAAAUAGCCCCGCACAUACAGCCCGAUCUCACGGGGAUUCGUGAAACUGUCACGUAAGUUUUAGUUUCGGUUUCGUGUGCACCAACACGAUUUCGUCAUGUUUUUCGUGCCGCUCACCACGAAAUGCGCACCAAUGUAUUUUAAACGGCGGACUUUUCGUGCCACUCAGAACGUAUUUCAAAAGAAUGUGUAUAUUAUAUUUUUAAUGUAAAACCGUGGCGAAUCCAACGCUAUAUUUUGCAUGACAUCGUCCCUAACCAUAACCCUAACCAUAACCUAACCAUAAGCCGGUGGUACACUUACCAAUUUGCAUAGGAAUUUCAAGAAUGUCCGGCGGCCGGCGGCCGCAAACGCAAUCACACAAGCAGUAUACGCCGAUGGACAGCUUAGAUCGUCAUGAAUCCGCCGGUAUAAACCACUUUCAGAUGUGAUUACCACAGCGAAAAACAUUUCGUGGUGAGCGGCACGAAAAACAUGAGGAAAUCGUGUUGGUGCGCACGAAACCGAAACUAAAACUUACGUGACAGUUUCACGAAUCCCCGUGAGACCGGGUUGGCACAUAUGAUGGUGUGCUCCAAGCAUUUCCUGAACGGUAAGUUAAUGUGAAAAUACAUUUUGCUAUUAUUGAGUGAGUUAUUUUGCAGAUAGCAAGUUAAUCUGCAGUACGUUUCUUGUUAGCCUGUCGGCUAAUGUGUUUGUUGUUUCCAGGCAAACCAGCCUACGAAAUGCUAGAAUGCCUCCCAGACUGGGCACCAUCUCUGAACCUCGGUCAUUCUGAGAUUAAAACGACUACAACGGAGAGAUUUGAACGGUUAUGUUCUCGAUCAAAAGCAAAACAACACCCAAAUACACCACCGAGGAGCACCGGACCAGACACAGAAGAGGAGAACAUUCCAGCUGAAAACCAUGCAGCACCAAACACUACUGCAACUUCAGAGGAGGUGGAGCUGGAGCAGAUCAGUCAACACCAUGAAGAGGAGCGAGAGCGUAUGAUGUGUUCACUUAGACUCAAGGAAAUCGCACAUCAGCAGGAAGAAAACCGAAAAUUGAAGGAGGAGCCGUCCAAAAAAAAUUGGAUGAGGAUUUUCUAAAAGACAACGACCCAGAAGUGAAGUUCUACACAGGACUUCCGUCUUUUGCUCUGCUGAUGGGUGUGCUAAUGCUAAUUCGUCCCAGCUUACCAAACACAGAAAGAAAGCUUUCCCAUUUUCAGAUGCUGCUGUUGACAUUCAUGCGUUUAAGGCUGAAUCUGCCACUUGAUCACAUUGCACACCUCUUUGACAUAAGCCGGACAACUACGUCCAACCUGUUUUAUGAUACCGUUAGUGUACUAUUUGCUCACCUCAGCCCUCUGGUGCUUUGGCCGAAGAGGCAUUACUUACAGACAAGCAUGCCUCAUCAGCACGUUGAGAUGUUCGGUGACAGAGUCGCAGUUAUCAUUGACUGUUUUGAACUGUGCAUAGAGCGAGCACAAACUCUACGAGCUAAGGCUGAGACAUAUUCCAACUACAAAAGUAGGCACACUAUGAAAUAUCUCACAGGCAUCACACCACAAGGGACAGUCUCCUUCAUUUCUACAGGAUAAGGAGGACGUGCCAGUGACAAACUUAUAGCUGAGACGUCUGGUUUUCUCCAAAGCUCUCACCUGGAGACACAGUGCUGGCCGACCGGGGAUUUGACAUUAAGGACAGAGUUGCCCUGAUGGGUGCCACAUUGAAAAUCCCAGCAUUUACCCGGGGCCGCAGCCAACUGGAAGCAAAAGAUGUAGAGGAGACACGAAAACUAGCUCAUGUAAGGAUUCAUGUCGAGCGGGUGUAUUUGCUCAAAGUACACCAUACUGAAUGACACUAUUCGCCUGGGUUUAGUGGUGCCAUGUGAGGGUGAAAGUAUGACUUUACUAGAUAACACUGUGGUUGUUUCAUGUGCACUUACUAAUAUGUGUCCAAGUGUUGUAUUGAAGCAAUGAAUUUAUCUGGGCCAAUACAUUAUGAAAUAAUUAAGUCUCAAAAAUGCAAAUAAAACAUUAAAACCA
Acanthochromis polyacanthus (spiny chromis) is the source of this 2541-nucleotide long non-coding RNA. RefSeq lists it as uncharacterized. The transcript has 2 exons. Lineage: Eukaryota; Metazoa; Chordata; Actinopteri; Pomacentridae. The record is from RefSeq and is a predicted model, not a curated record.